This 107-nucleotide transfer RNA is filed under the name Nitrospirota bacterium. Its description in RNAcentral is "Nitrospirae bacterium (marine sediment metagenome) tRNA-Lys". It matches the Rfam family "tRNA". Rfam says of the family: Transfer RNA (tRNA) molecules are approximately 80 nucleotides in length. Their secondary structure includes four short double-helical elements and three loops (D, anti-codon, and T loops). Lineage: Bacteria; Pseudomonadati; Nitrospirota. The record is from RNAcentral.
GGGCUCGUAGCUCAGCUAGGCAGAGCACCUGGCUUUUAAAGUGGAUGGUAUUUCCACAUUCACUUGAAGAUACCAGAUGGUCGUGGGUUCAAAUCCCUCCGAGCCCG